Molecule: ribosomal RNA, 217 nt
Filed under: uncultured Spirochaeta sp.
Lineage: Bacteria; Pseudomonadati; Spirochaetota; Spirochaetia; Spirochaetales; Spirochaetaceae
Description: partial 16S ribosomal RNA
Rfam family: Bacterial small subunit ribosomal RNA
Source: RNAcentral
GGAAGGUGGGGACGACGGUCAAGUCAUCAUGGCCCUUAUGUCCUGGGCCACACACGUGCUACAAUGGCCGGUACAGAGCGCAGCGAGGCCGCGAGGCGGAGCGAAUCGACUUAAAGCCGGUCCCAGUACGGAUUGGAGUCUGCAACCCGACUCCAUGAAGUUGGAAUCGCUAGUAAUCGCGCAUCAGCAUGGCGCGGUGAAUACGUUCCCGGGCCUU